Molecule: long non-coding RNA, 2597 nt
Organism: Nannospalax galili (Upper Galilee mountains blind mole rat)
Lineage: Eukaryota; Metazoa; Chordata; Mammalia; Rodentia; Spalacidae
Exons: 4
Source: RefSeq, a predicted model, not a curated record
CCUACAACCUGAGAAUCAAACCCCUUCUGUUUCUCCAAGGUUGGGUAACCCAGGGCCGGGUGAUUCACACAGGACGGCUCAGGCUAGGUUUGUUCAAGGUAGCAGACACAGCAGGACACCGACAGCAGUCAGAGCCAGGGGACCAGUGCCCUCAAGGACUGGGAGCACCUUCCAGGUCUUCAAGCUCUCCCACCCUGGGACAUGCUGCCUCCUUUCCUAAUAUUAGCGGUGACAAGACCAUCUUCGGGUAGACUGAGGAGCCUACACUGUGCCCCUGACGCUGGGCAGCACAGAGCCCACCUGUUGAAUGGGGAGAGCAUGCACAAAUUCACUUCUAUAGAGUCCAGCAAUCAACCACAGCCAUUCUGUGUGCAACAAAGAGGACCUCAGAGUCGGACCAGGAGGAGUUGUGCAUGGUAGUCUGAGAGGCCUCCCACCCUGCUCUGCCCUGCAUCAUGGAUUCUGGCCCCAGCAGGCUCUGAGCCCACAGCUAUGGUGUUCCUGGCCUCUCUCUGUUGUGACCAAUGGGAAGCCUGGCAAAGGUGGAGGAGCCGGGGACUGGAACCUCCUCUUCUGAUGUGUGGGGGCGCUUGACAGAAACAAGCGAAGGGAGGAAGGACCAAUCGUUUUCCAGCAUGCAUCCUCACGGGGAAGGCCAGGUGGAGCAGGAGGUGAGGCAAGUCUUCCCUUGUGGCAAUAAAUCAGGAGCAGAGAGCGCCAGGUCGGAACUAGAGGUAGGUAGAGCCUUAAAGUUUCUCUUCCAAUGACCCCCCUCCACCAGUUAGGUCCCACCCAAAGCAGCCUCCUGAAACAGCACCAACUGGGAACCAAGUGUCCAGACAUGAUCCUGUCAGUCCUUUACAGGGGCUGACAACUGUCUCUGCCCUGGAGAAUUUUGGAUGCCUUUCAGGAGACUUAGAACUUCCUGCUAGGAAACACUGUCAGUGGUAGGUAGCAGGGUCUGUACCAGGUCCUGAUGCUGGACUGAAGUGUGUCCUAGGGAAUAGCUAGAUGUUUGAUUGAACCAUCUGGAUCACAGAGUAAGGAAGUAGUUCCUUUUAAAAUCAUUUUCUGAUCCCUCUGGAAAUAAUUCGAGUUUUCUUUUGCUCCUAGUAGACCUUGAAUAUGUUCUUAACACCUGGAGUCUCCAAGUUCAAGCCAGAGACAGCGGGUCACAAAUGUGUGGAGCUCGACAGCAUGGCUCUGUUUACAUGAGUUCAUUUUUACAGCCAGAUUCUACUCAGGGUGAACACUACCAGUAUUGCAUUUCAGGAGGCGAUAAAAAGUUCCUUAAACAAUGAAUUCAUUUAAGUGGGAAAAAAAAAUAGAUUGACUUAAGAAAACAUAGAAGUUAGCCAAUGCAGAGUUUGGAGGUGCUUAGAUGACCCGAGUUUGGGGGAUCUUUCUGUCGUUCUCUCAACCUAGCUGUCCGAAUCUGGGCAAAACACAGCAAAGACGAUUUCGGCCUUGAGGAGAGCAUGCUUCUCAGCCAAGUUCAACAGGAAUAAUAUGACAAGCCACAAUUAAAGAACAAGUAAUUUGUUACAGAUGCAAAUUCCGUAAAAGUUCAAAGAGGCGUGGGCUGGGGUGUUAGGCGAGGAAGAGGCCGAGGAGGCCGCUGCAGAAUGCCUGGCGGUGGACACAGGUGCAAGGGGGGGAAGGACCGCACCCUCCCCAGGCACGGGAGUGAGAGCUGCCGUGGUGAGAGUGGGUUUUGAGUUUCCGGGGUAGAAAUCCAGGCUGGGUCAGUGAACUUGGGGCCGAAGAACACGAAGACAAAUUGAGGGCAGGGAAUGGGGGUUCUGCGUCACUGGCUCCACAGGACGCAGGAACCCCUCCAGAGUUACUUUUGGCAGCAGCAUGGACGCGGGGUCUGUGGCUAAGCCCCUUUCAGAGGAGGACAGAGCAGCUGGAGGGUGAAGCCAUUCUCGCCAGGAGAGAGAGCAAGGGCCAGGGCCAGGAAGGGGUCAUGAGGGACACAUUUGCCUCCGGAAGGACAGCCCCAAAGGCCAAAGCGAUGGAUACUCCGCAUGGGAAAGGACCAGUGUGUAUGGGGCUCCAGACCAAAGACAUCACACACAGCCGCCAGAUGCCUGAGUCCCCUCAACUGAGACACAGAGAGAGGUGCUCCUAUUCCAGUCAUGGAGCUGGACUCCACAUCCACAGAAAGUUUCCUUUUCUAGCUUUGUGUUUCUAACCUUUAAUGACACACAAUUAGAGGAAAGUGUGCUUUUUAAAUGUAUUUGUGCCCCGUGAAAUGAGCAAAUCGGGCUCUUUCACACAUCCAUCACCUCAAACAUUUAUUAUUGUUUUCUAGUGACAACAUCCGAACCUCACUGUUUGAGCUAUACAGUCAACGAUUACUACAAUAGAUUUAUUCCUCUUUGGCGGGACCCCUUUAUGCAGUGGCCGACUUUCUCCCAUCCCUGCACGGCCUCUGGUAGCCACGAAGCUUCUCUGUACUUCUACGAGAUCAGCAUUUUCAGAUUCCACAAAUGCAUUCGAUUGUGCAGUAUUGGUUCUUUUGUGAAUGUGUUCCUGCCUCCAAUAUAACAAUCUCCAGGUGGGAUUCCGCUGACUUUUUUUGUAUUAGUUUU